Molecule: ribosomal RNA, 275 nt
Filed under: uncultured bacterium
Lineage: Bacteria
Description: partial 16S ribosomal RNA
Rfam family: Bacterial small subunit ribosomal RNA
Source: RNAcentral
CCUACGGGUGGCUGCAGUGGGGAAUAUUGGACAAUGGGCGCAAGCCUGAUCCAGCAAUGCCGCGUGUGUGAAGAAGGCCUUCGGGUUGUAAAGCACUUUUAUCAGGAACGAAAAGCGACGGACUAAUACUCUGUCGUGCUGACGGUACCUGAGGAAUAAGCACCGGCUAACUUCGUGCCAGCAGCCGCGGUAAUACGAAGGGUGCAAGCGUUAAUCGGAAUUACUGGGCGUAAAGCGUGCGUAGAUGGUGCGUUAAGUCGGAUGUGAAAGCCCCG